GCUUGUAACAACAGAGGACCAAUCCUGUCAAUCCCACACCCCACUCCCAAGCCUCUGCUUUCCUGGCUGGACAAUAGAGGGUAGAGGGAAGCUUGAUGAUUGGGGUGUGUGGAGUGAUUUCCAGGUGUGCUCAAAAAUGUCUGUUCUGCUGGCUCUGAAUGUCUUCCUGGGCUCCUGCUGAUGGGGGUCAGGGCCGAGCCGAGGAGGGUCUGGGUGGAUGGGAAAGCAUCUCCCUUCCCAGUUACCUGGCAAGGCCAACUGGAUCGGCUUCCCUCUACCUUGGUGGCCUCUGGUGGGCAAAAGCUGGGCAGGAAUGUGAUGGGGCAGGCCUGAGAACGUCAGGGGAAGGCGGCACAGAUAGGGCCGGCUAGAGGGGCUGCCAUGUGUGACCCAUGGCAGGGGAGGUGACAGCCAAGACAAUGGCCACAGUCAGAUACUGCGGGCAGCAAGAGCAAGGACAUUUGGUGGCGAACAGGUCAGAGAAUCGAGAAAUUGAGGCCAAGCUGGUGUGUUAGGGUUUAGGCAGUAGGUUGUGGGGUGUGAGUCAGGUGUAAAGCAGGGGUCCCCAGAUUCCUCCCUGUCCUCUCUCUCUGGUAUGUGCUUGUACCAAGGAGAGAAGCCUAGUACUCAGGUGUCCCUGAGGCUAUGACCCACAUCUGCCUGGACACCCCUGAUGUAGUGACACCUUUGUGACACCCAAAGGCCUCAGGAAAUUCAUGCCCAGACUCAGGAUAGAAUUCCCAGUGCCAUGAUCCUUCCUGACUGCAGGGCCUGGGCUCAGAGCCUCCAGCAGCUCCUUAGACAUCGCACCCCAAGAGAAAAAUCCAAGGAGAAAGCUCUACAGCAAUCCCACUGUCUCCAGAGCCCAGGAGGCCCAGCCAUGCUCCCCGAGAGCUGCAGGGCUGGCUGCUGUCUUCCUGCACCCCCAGUGUGUGCCCACUCAUUCUUCCUCCCUCCCGAGCCUGGGGCCUUCUCACUCACUGGCCUGUUUACACACCAGGGGCCGUGGAUCCUGGCCAAACCAGCCUCCUGGGACAAGAGCAGGACCAAAUUGGCUAAAUCUGGCUUCCUUCUGCACUCCCAGCUCAGUCUGUCCCCUAUGGGCUCUCCUGGGAAGUCAGCAAUCCUGAGCUGGCCAGGAAGAAUACUGUGACCCUGGGAGGGACUCACUAUUACCCAUUGCCCCACAGACUGACCGGAAUGAUAACGACUUGCAGUGCGGUGUUGCCGUCCCCAACCACCCCUGUUUUCUGACAACAAGGGAGCGCGGGAGACCGGAGCGUUGAACCCAAAUCCCUCAGCAGUUGCACUUCAUUAAGUCAAAAUGUGACAAGAAGCUUAGAG
This 1344-nucleotide long non-coding RNA is filed under the name Fukomys damarensis (Damara mole-rat). RNAcentral describes it as "lncRNA (ENSFDAG00000024243.1)". Lineage: Eukaryota; Metazoa; Chordata; Mammalia; Rodentia; Bathyergidae. The record is from RNAcentral.